CAGUAGCCGCGGGAAUACAGAGGGUGCGAGCGUUAAUCGGAUUUACUGGGCGUAAAGCGUGCGUAGGCGGCUAAUUGAGUCGGAUGUGAAAUCCCCGAGCUUAACUUGGGAAUUGCAUUCGAUACUGGUUAGCUAGAGUGUGGGAGAGGAUGGUAGAAUUCCAGGUGUAGCGGUGAAAUGCGUAGAGAUCUGGAGGAAUACCGAUGGCGAAGGCAGCCAUCUGGCCUAACACUGACGCUGAGGUACGAAAGCAUGGGGAGCAAACAGGAUUAGAUACCCGUGUAGUCCCUGUCUCUUAUAU
Molecule: ribosomal RNA, 301 nt
Filed under: uncultured bacterium
Lineage: Bacteria
Description: partial 16S ribosomal RNA
Rfam family: Bacterial small subunit ribosomal RNA
Source: RNAcentral